RNAcentral lists this ribosomal RNA (463 nucleotides) under uncultured bacterium. RNAcentral describes it as "partial 16S ribosomal RNA". It matches the Rfam family "Bacterial small subunit ribosomal RNA", at positions 339 to 795 of the family's 1533-position model. The record is from RNAcentral.
CUACGGGCCGCAGCAGUGGGGAAUAUUGCACAAUGGGCGCAAGCCUGAUGCAGCCAUGCCGCGUGUAUGAAGAAGGCCUUCGGGUUGUAAAGUACUUUCAGCGGGGAGGAAGGGAGUAAAGUUAAUACCUUUGCUCAUUGACGUUACCCGCAGAAGAAGCACCGGCUAACUCCGUGCCAGCAGCCGCGGUAAUACGGAGAGUGCAAGCGUUAAUCGGAAUUACUGGGCGUAAAGCGCACGCAGGCGGUUUGUUAAGUCAGAUGUGAAAUCCCCGGGCUCAACCUGGGAGCUGCAUCUGAUACUGGCAAGCUUAAGUCUCGUAGAGGGGGGUAGAAUUCCAGGUGUAGCGGUGAAAUGCGUAGAGAUCUGGAGGAAUACCGGUGGCGAAGGCGGCCCCCUGGACGAAGACUGACGCUCAGGUGCGAAAGCGUGGGGAGCAAACAGGAUUAGAUACCCCGUAGUC